UCCAGAUGAUCUGGGAGCAUUUCAAAAUAGAAUGUAAAGAUUAGCACAGUCCCUGCGCAAAGAUAACACGCAAAUUCCUGAAGCGUUCCAUAUUAAA
This is a small nuclear RNA of Gorilla gorilla gorilla (western lowland gorilla), 97 nucleotides long. The record is from Ensembl. NCBI's taxonomy places the organism in Eukaryota, Metazoa, Chordata, Mammalia, Primates, Hominidae.